CCUACGGGAGGCAGCAGUAAGGAAUAUUGGACAAUGGACGCAAGUCUGAUCCAGCCAUGCCGCGUGAAGGAUUAAGGCCCUCUGGGUUGUAAACUUCUUUUAUAGGGGACGAAAAAAGGGCUUUCUAGCUCGACUGACGGUACCCUAUGAAUAAGCACCGGCUAACUCCGUGCCAGCAGCCGCGGUAAUACGGAGGGUGCAAGCGUUAUCCGGAUUCACUGGGUUUAAAGGGUGCGUAGGCGGGCAUUUAAGUCAGUGGUGAAGUCUUCGAGCUCAACUCGGAAACUGCCAUUGAUACUAUUUGUCUUGAAUAUUGUGGAGGUGAGCGGAAUAUGUCAUGUAGCGGUGAAAUGCUUAGAUAUGACAUAGAACACCGAUUGCGAAGGCAGCUCGCUACACAAAUAUUGACGCUGAGGCACGAAAGCGUGGGGAUCAAACAGGAUUAGAUACCCUGGUAGUCCACGCCCUAAACUAUGGAUACUCGACAUUUGCGAUACACAGUAAGUGUCUGAGCGAAAGCAUUAAGUAUCCCACCUGGGAAGUACGACCGCAAGGUUGAAACGUCAAAUGAAUUGACGG
RNAcentral lists this ribosomal RNA (579 nucleotides) under uncultured bacterium. RNAcentral's name for it is "bacterial SSU rRNA". It matches the Rfam family "Bacterial small subunit ribosomal RNA", at positions 338 to 916 of the family's 1533-position model. The record is from RNAcentral.